RNAcentral lists this ribosomal RNA (301 nucleotides) under uncultured bacterium. RNAcentral describes it as "partial 16S ribosomal RNA". It matches the Rfam family "Bacterial small subunit ribosomal RNA", at positions 509 to 808 of the family's 1533-position model. The record is from RNAcentral.
CAGUCGCCGCGGUAAUACGAAGGGUGCAAGCGUUAAUCGGAAUUACUGGGCGUAAAGCGUGCGUAGGCGGUGAGUUAAGUCUGCUGUGAAAUCCCCGGGCUCAACCUGGGAAUGGCAGUGGAUACUGGCUCGCUAGAGUGUGUCAGAGGAUGGUGGAAUUCCCGGUGUAGCGGUGAAAUGCGUAGAGGUCGGGAGGAACAUCAGUGGCGAAGGCGGCCAUCUGGGACAACACUGACGCUGAGGCACGAAAGCGUGGGGAGCAAACAGGAUUAGAUACCCCGGUAGUCCCUGUCUCUUUACA